This is a long non-coding RNA of Portunus trituberculatus (swimming crab), 269 nucleotides long. RefSeq lists it as uncharacterized. The transcript has 3 exons. The record is from RefSeq and is a predicted model, not a curated record. NCBI's taxonomy places the organism in Eukaryota, Metazoa, Arthropoda, Malacostraca, Decapoda, Portunidae.
CUCCCGUAUUUUUCACCUUUACUGCCUCUCCUACGCGUCCUUCCGUGCUGUGGCGUUUUCUGUGACGUCCCUGGCCUUGCCAAAAGCUGCGUGAGGAUGACGAGGCGCACUAGGGACCCAGGGGCGGCGUUAUACAAGGCCUUGUGAGACAGACGCCCGCCACGUCACGCCGCUGCUGUAGAGGCGGGAAUUCCCACACAGCACACGAGGAGGCGAAGGAAGAAGGGAGGAGGAGGAAGAGGAAGAAGAAGAGAAGAAGAGGAAGAAGA